This 71-nucleotide transfer RNA is filed under the name Candidozyma auris. RNAcentral describes it as "[Candida] auris tRNA-Phe". Lineage: Eukaryota; Fungi; Ascomycota; Pichiomycetes; Serinales; Metschnikowiaceae. The record is from RNAcentral.
AGGUUUUAAAAUAAAGAACGGUCCCAAAAAUAUUUAUAGAAAUAUAAAGUUGAUGGGAGAUAGAACAAGAA